RNAcentral lists this long non-coding RNA (2549 nucleotides) under Coffea arabica (coffee). RNAcentral's name for it is "long non-coding RNA (CARA_LNC004771)". The record is from RNAcentral. Lineage: Eukaryota; Viridiplantae; Streptophyta; Magnoliopsida; Gentianales; Rubiaceae.
CAAGAGCUCUUCAAUUUUCCAUCUUCAAAUCUUGCACAAAUCAUCAACCAAAUCAAACCAAAAUUGAAGUACACCUAGUUGAACACUUGGAGAUUGUAUCUUGUUAAAAAAGGGGGAGCUUUUCACGGUUUUCUUGGAGCAAGGAGGGACCAAAAAUUUCUGUUUUGCACACCAAGUGAAGUAGGUAACGAUCAAACCUUGAAAACUUGGUUUAUGGAAGUUCUUGUGCUCAUAUAUACUCAUGCAUAUUAGUGGGUAGCAUUAUUUUGAGGAAAAUUUGGUUGUGUGGGCUCUAUGAACUCUCACCUUGGAUGUAUGGACUGAUUUGUGGUGUUUUGCUGGUAAUGAUGUUUAUUUAGUGUCUAAACUAGUGGAUUAAUGUUGGAUUGUUGAUAGAAACUCAAGGUGGAGCAAUAACCAAAAGUGACCAUUUUACCCCUGCUUUGUUCGAGCACUUUGGUGCAAAAUUUUGAUAUUCUAAUGGCUUGUUUAUGUUUUUUACAUGUUAUAUUGAGUGUGUAAAAAGUUCCAUUGAUAAAUAACUUGAUUUGGUUACCCAAAUGUUGGAUUUACGAAAGCUUAGAAAUCUGGAAACUAUUCCAGUAUUCACCCAGGCAGUGUUUUUGUUUCGGCUAUAUCUUUUUACUCCAAUGUCGGAAUCGAGUACCGUUUGCGGCAAUGGAAACUAGACAUUCCCAGCUUUCUGUUGGUAUAAAAUGCACAUUCUGGUUCCACUUGUGUGAGCCAGACCAUUCGUUUGAAAAUUUCUGUUCUGUUUCAUUGGUUCACUACAGGGCAGAACAUGAACUACAACUUAAGGCUCAAAUAUGAGCUAGUUGUGGAUGGAUUUUGAAAAUGAUUUCUUCUGAGAAAUUGUAGCUUUAUGAAUGUGUUUUCCAACGCCACCAACCACACUCAAUUCCAAGUUGAAUUGAGUGAAUUAUGGCCAAAUUACAGACCUGGAUUUUUGCUUGAAAAUCCUCUUUUGGCUAGUUAAAUGGCCUAGCUUGAUUUGGGACUUGUUGUUUUGGAAACUUUGAUGUCCAACAUCUACCAAACUUUAUAUUAGAUGUUCCUUGGACUUUGUUUCACAAAUAAACCAGAUUUGGGUUGGUUGCAUUGGACAAAAUGUUUAAAAAGGAAAGAAGAGCUAGAAGACAGUUUUGCCUUGGGAAAUUUCUUGAACUUUGAUGGUUUAGUUAACUACCCUCCCGUAUGAAUUUUCAAAUGAAAUUUGAUAGAGGAAUAGUCCUCAUAUGGAGGUUUAAUUUUACAAAAUUUGGUGGUAUUCUAAGACCAUUUUUAUAUACAAAUGAUGUUCCGAAAUUGCUCUUCGAAUCUGGAAAACUUUUCCUUUUCUCUUAGCCGAAUGGCCAAUCUUGACUUGGGACUUGUUAUUUCGAAAUUCUUGGAGUUAAUCACCUAAGAAAAUGUAUCUUGAAUAUUACUUAGACAUUGUCUACACAAAUGAACCAUGUUUGAAAAUAUUUCAUUAGCCAAAGAUUUAGAAAAGGGAAAUGGUAGCACAAGGCAGUUUUGCCUUGAAAAUUUAGAAACUUUCGUGACUUUGUUAACUGACUUCCCGUACGUAUUUUUCCAUGAAAUUUGACAGAGGAAUGGCCCUUAUAUGGUAGUGUAAUACUACCAAAUUUGGUGCCAUUCAGAGUCCAUUUCGAUACUCAAUCAAAGUCCCAAAGUACUUGAUUUAAACCUGGAAUUUGCUUAACAGUUUCACUUUUUCACCAAUUCUGAGCUACUAUAUCUUGGUGCUCAAAACUCCAAUUCUUGUUUUGAUUUUUGUGUUUUAAACUUUGAUUGUAACUCUAAUUUAGUUCCGAAUUUCAGAUGCUAGUUCACAUUGUGUGAAUUUUUCCGAAUUUCCAAAGUUGGCCAAAAACCAACCUCGAAACUAUCUUGCAAGCCUAAAACAGUAAUUUUGAGCCAAAUUUUGAAUGUCUUUCAUUUGGAAUCGUUGAUUUGAGCGUUGCUCAUCGACUUAUAUUCGUAUUCGUACUCGUAUUCGGGGGACGCCCAAACUCGUUGGUUAACUUUGCGAAUCGAGCCAGCAUGGACUUGGUCGAUAAACUUAGCCAACCAUGAGAUAUUCGUAGAGCAUGAUCAAUUGGAGAGAUCUUGCUCGCCAUUACUCGUGCAGUAUUGCCAUGAUAUACUCGAGUAUUAUCAAAACUUUGAUAAGCGGGCCCGAUAAGGGGGUGUAACGGUGACGGGAUUCGAAGAAAAGUGGUGUAUCUACGGAUUUGAUACUUAUUGGUUGACGGAGUGUCAACGUGAGAUGUGAUCAAGACUUCGACUCGACUCGACUACGUGGAAUUUAACUCUUGAGAGUUACAGUAUCCUUGAAUUGUUUCUGUUUAUUUUUCCUGUUCGAAAAAUGAAUUAUUCGAAUUUUAUAGCUUUACUUACUAUGUAAUUUGUGGCUACUUGGAUUAUGUGUUUGCAUGUGUGUUUCUUGGCCUCACUGAGUAUUGGCUCAUCUCAUUAGUUUGUUUUCCUUAACAGGUUGGAUUGGAAGAUUUUGGAAAAGCCGG